CCUGUCCCCAGACUGGCUGGCAGCUUCCAUAAAGCCUGAGCCGAGGACCCAGAAAGUCUUCUCCAGCCCCUGAGACUUUAAAAUCCCAUGUUGUGAGACAAAAAAGAAAAGAUCUUGUGACUCUGAAUUUGGAGACAGUGGGUGUACGUAGUCACACAGUGAUGCGCUUGGUCAAGGCCUAUCAAAUGGAACUGAAAGGGCUGGAACCCAAAGAUAAAAAACAGUGGAAUCACAGACAAUCACAGAUGAACUACAACAGAUGAUCCAACAGCAACAGAAAGACUUUUCAGUCAUUUCUGAGUCAUGUCCAACUCUUCAUGACCCCUUUUGAGGUUUUCUUGGCAAAGAUACCGGAAUGGGCCAUGUCCUUCUCCAGCUCAUUUUACAGAUGAGGAAACUAAGGCAAGCAGGAUGAAGUGAUUUGCUUAGAGUCACUCAAAUGGUAAGUAUCUGAGGCCAGACUCAUGAAGAUGAAUUUUUCUGACUCUAGACCUGGCGCUUUAUCCACUGUACCAUCUAGUUGACCUCUGUAGCACGUGAAUGCAAUGGGAUAUUAAAUCUGAGGACGUUCAGAGACAACUCAAUUUGUACAAACUGAUGUGGAGAACAAUUUGCAUGAUAACAUAAUAACGUAAAGAGAAGCAACAUUGGAAGACUCCAACACUUUUCUCAAUGGAAGGUCCAGGGAUGAUGGGAGGAUGGAUGCUUUGGGGAUCAUGCUCCUGCCUCUCAGCACACAGGUCCGCUGGGCUCUACAUGUGGAAUGACGCUUACAUUUUCAGAGGUGGCUAAUAUAUUGAUUUGUUUUUAUUGAUUCAACAAAGAAGGAUUCUAUUAGGGUCAGAGAUGAGGUAACAAUUAUGUAGCAAAAGAACAACAAUAAAAUAUUUUUUAAAAAGACAAAUGAUGGAUUCAAGCAGUUUGUGGUCUUAUUACUGAUCAUGACUUGUGAGGGAAGAGUGAUAUCGAGGACUCCAUCAAUUGUUGGAAUCCUUACUAACUGCUAACUAAUUAGAGUUGAUCUAAUCUUACAAGAAGAUUUUGGGCAGAACCUGAAACAAGGUACUAAGUAGAACUAAUUAAUACAAGGCUUGUGUUCACACCUUUACUCAUUGGAGUUCACAAGUAUGCCAGCUUCACAAAGUAAACUUUUUAACUUCAAGGGAGUUCACACCUUGUUUCAGGUUCUGGCCAAAAUCUUCUUGUAAGAUUAGAUCCACUCUAAUUAGUUAGCAGUUAGUAAGGAUUCCAACAAUCAAUAACAGGAAUGAGGAGAAAAGGAGCUGGCUGAUUAGGUAGAAAAGGGAAAGGAAGCAGUUGAACAGCCUGAGCUCUGUACUGAUGUCCACAAAAUAUUGAAAAACAAAAAAACAGAGAGAAUGCCCUGAAUAUGUUAGUUAGAUCCUCUAUGGAGGAUUUAGGGGGAUGAAUAAAUGGAAAAACAUUUACUAAGUUUUUACCAUGUGCCAACUGUACAAGGUAUAGGGAAUACAAAUAAAAAGUAAAGAAAGUCCUGCCUCAAGGAGCAGGACUCUCUAAUGGGAAAGACAAGAGUGGUGGGCAGGGAAGAGUUCUGUGGUGUGGGGAAUCACAGGGGUAGUUAAGGAGGCCCUUUCCAGAAGCAAUGGUAAUAUUAAUUUAAUACUGUGCCCAGAGCAAUGGGUGUAAGGAGGUCCUGCCCGAGUAAGAGGUGAGAGGGUAUCCACUGUGGCAGAGGGGUGGCCAGAUGAUGGGUGGAUGAUUAAAUAUUAUGUAACACAGAGCCUGGGGUCAAUUAGGCAGAACGAGUUAGAUGAGUUUGUGCUCACUCAUCAAUCAGAAAGUCAAAUCACAGGACCAAGAUCCAAAGCUGGAUGGAUCAACAGGAAGGAGAGAGGGAAGAUACUGAAUCUGGAUCAGGUCCAGAAGAUAGCUGCUCCAGCUGGGAAUAAGGGGUGCAACAGAUGGAAGACAUGGUGAUGGAUAAUGGACAAGAAUUGCACAAAAAGAGUAAGAACAAAUGGACUUGAUCUUCUCUGGUGGGGAUACUAGCCACUAGCCAUUGGAUCAUGGAUCCAAUGAAUGAUUAAAGUAUUUCCACUUUGAUUUCAGAAGUCUGCAAUAUAUUAUGUGUCUUGCUUUCUAAAUUUAUCUAGCACUUCUUAUGUGCUGAAGAACAUGAUUUUUGUGAGCCUUUCAGUGUGUAUUUGAGAAAUGUAUAUUUCCCUGCUUUUUCGAUUAAAUUUUCUGUGUCUUUUUCUUUCUCCCUCCCCCUCCCUGUUUGUCUCCCUCCCCCAUCUCUCUCCCUUCCUUUAUCCCUUCUUCUUUACCUAUAUCUUUUUCUCCUUCUUUCUCUAUCUUCUUUUUCUCUCUUAAAGAUAGCUAGAGUUAACAAUCUGUUUAAGUUAGUAAUAUUUCUUAUCUAUCUUUUUUGCUUGGUUAUAAUAUUCUCAUAGUUGACUGCUGAAAUCUCAAUUACUUUUUCUAUCAAUUUCAGCAUGUGAACAUGUUAUGUUUUUCCUUGACCCAAUCCCACAAAUUGGUAUAUAACUUGGUAUAUAAUUGAUAUAUAUAUAUUUGUAUAUGUGAGAAUUGCAUUCAGUUCAGACGGAGUGCUUCACUGAUAUCUCCCAAAUAUGAAAAGAACCAAAGUGGAUGCUCUAGCAUUUUGAAUCUCAGAGUCUGACUUUGAAUUCUGGUCUGCUACUUAUUAUCUGUGAAACCUUAGAAAAGCCCCUUAACCUUGCUUGGUCCCAGUUCCUUAUUUGUAAAACCAAAGAGUUGGAUUAGAUGCCUCUGAAUCCUUGUCCUGGUUGAACAGAGGUCUGAUUUUGCUCUUAAAUUGAAGAGCCCAUUUUCUCAUGUAUAUGCUAUAAUCUACCCUAACAGAUACCCUUCCUUACUUCUGCUUUACUGCUUGCUUGGAUAACUAUAUUUGCUUGCUAUCUGUGAUUGUCUUUUAUUUUAUAAACAUUUGAUAAGAGAGAGUUAAGCUGGCAAAAGUAAACUAUUACCCUUCUCUGUUGAAUCAUCAAAGGAACUGACUUUAUCCUGAACUCUGAAAAGAGUAUUCUGUCUCUAAACUGUAAACACCUGACAUGGAGUAGAUAGGUAUAAUUUGAGACCAAUAUCUCUCUUGGAAAUAGGAGAGUUGAGGAGUGCCCAGCUUUUCUGCUCUGCCCAAAGCAGGAAAUCACAGUUUCCCUGGAGACAUGGUAGGCCAGAUUCCAGAUCAGCUCAUAUCUGUCUAAAUAUAUACCUGAAACGUGGGCCAUCUCAGGUCCCUGUGGUUCAGGUCAGACCUAUUAAAUUAUAAUCCAAUGUUAUCAUUUAUGAAAAGACAUGAAAGAAUGAGAAUAACAUAAGAUGAGAAGGCCUGGAGAAGUCUGUAGUAGUGAAGGAAAUACCCACACCAAUAAAAUUCUAGAUCUAUUAGAAUAUCUGAUUUCCUCAAAAAUAGUGAUAAAAUUCUUAUCUUUUUUGGGGGGUGUUCUGGGACACCAAUAAUACUGAUGCCUCUUCUUCUAAUCCUGUUAUCCAGGUACAUGACUUUCCCCUCCCUAUUUUUGAUUUUUUUCCCCAUUUUUGUGAUUUUUCUGAAUUUCUUCUGAGCACCACAGUCCUGAUGGAUGGGGGUUUUCUUGAUGGAUGAGAACUUAUCACAUUUACUUAAAGCCAGAUUCAUCAUCUCCUUCCCUCUUCACAAUGUGCUCCAGAACCUCCCCAUAAGCUUCCUGGCUUUCCAGCACCUCUACCUCUGGGAACUUUUUAAAUGAACACUUUCGUUUCUAAAACAUCAUGUCAAUCAAUUGCCCUAUGACGUCACUCAUCAUUCCUGUGAUUUCCCAAAAUACCACUCUCUGGCCACUACUCACCUAUAUUUGUGUUGUCUAUCCCUAUUAAAAUGUAAACACCUUGCUUUUUGUAUUUGUAUCUACAAUGCUUAAUGUAACAUUUGGCCUCUAGUAAAAAGUGCUCAAUAAAUGCUUUUUCAUUCAUUCAUUUUCUAUUUCAGUUGCAUUGUCUAUCCAUAUUUCUCUGUUGAAUUAUUUCAACUUUUUUUAAAGACAAUUUAGUGAAAUGUUUUGGUUAUAGUCCUGCUAUACAUUAGGAUCAUAACAUUUAAAAGAACUUCAGAGAUCAUUAAGACUAACCCCUUUAUUUUACAGACAAGGAAAUUGAAAACUGGGGGAAAGUGACUUGUUCAACUUUACCCAUCGAGUAGAUAGCAGAGCAGAGAUUUGGACACUUCUGAUGUCAAGUCCAGCAUUCUCUGCCCCAUUAUACCAUACUGUCUUUCCUGUACAAUGUUGGACUUGGUGCUAUUUUCUAUUUUUAGCAGAUUUUUUCCAUUCUCAUCUGAGGUUUCUUAGCUACUAUCCUAUCCUACUUGAAUUCCAGUUCCUUGAGAGAUCCAAUGUUCCAUCUCAAACAAACUUCAUUUCAGACCUGGAAACUGGGCUAACUGAGAUGGGAUUGGGGUAAAGGGAAGAGAAUAUGGACUUUAUAUAUAUAUAUAUGUACAGGCGUCAUGAUAAGUAUGUUUUGCAAAUAUUAUCUGAUUUGAUCCUUACAGUAACUUUGGGAACUAUUAUUAUGCCCACUAUACAGUUGAGAAAACUGAGUUAAAUAGCGAUUAUGUGACUUGCCAAUAAGCAACUGAGGUUGGAUUUGAACUUAGGUCUUCCUGGCAUUAGGACCAACACUCUCUCCAUUUAACCACCAGCUGCCAAUGGGACUUAAGAGUUUGAUUCUUAAAUGAAAGAACAAUUCUCUAUCUAGAAAGGAUUGGGAUAUCCAUGGUGUUUGGGGUAAGAGACUAAUACUGCAAAGUACCAAAAUGAAGUUUCUUUUUUUUUUUUUUUUUAAUCAUAUCCCAUUUACCUCCUGGGGUAGGGGAGUGGUGAUGGGCUGCUUGUCACUCAUGUUUGGAUAGAUCUUGGGGAAGAUAUGAGGAGAGGAGAUCUGAUAGCUUUGGGUUUGGGAGGUUGGUUCCUAAAGCUUUUCUCCUAAGCAUUAGUCAGCUCUUACCAGACAGAGAGCCUAAGUUGUGACUUGAAAAACAGCUAGACAUCCCACAGGACUGAUGAACUGUUUCUUCAUUUUGUGUAUGGGGAGGAAACGUUCAGCAGAGUAAAUGCAAGAGCCAAGCCACCCUCUUCCCUAUAGCCUUUAAGGGCACGGCUUAGAAUGUUCAGCAAAUAUUUAUUAAGAUUUUCUUAAUUUGUACAGAAGGAGGCAUAAGAAGAAUGUACAAGAGGUCAAGGAAGUGGAGAACUGGGUCAAGGAGAGGGAAGCUGGGGGAAAGGGAAUAAAGACAUUUUACUCCUUUUUAAUUUUCCUCAUUCUCACUCCUACUUGCCAAACUUCUAUCUGGACAAGUUUUCUCAUCUGUAAAAUGAGGGAGGUUGGACUAAAUGACUUCUAAGUUUCUUUCUACUCUUUUGACCCCGUGAUCCCAAGCCUAUCACCUUGGGUAAGAUGUGAGAUGUGCAAAUGUUAGAGAAUCCUCCAUAAAUGUUCACAUGGGUUAUUUGUACCCAAAUUUCUGCACAAAUUUGACUGGCCACAGUUGGACACACUGCAACUUGACUCUAACAUAGAUUGUUAUUUUGGCCCUUUUCAAGAACUAGGGACAAUAACCAACCAACCAAUCAUUUUGGGUCAUUCUGUGCCUUUCUUUUUUUUAACCUAAAAACAGAAUAGCCCCUAAAUACCUCAAUGAAUGGGUCACUGAUCUGACCAAAUGUGGAAUUUCUUAAGUACCCUUUCUAACCGGGCAGCUAUGGCGACCUCAGUUUCCUCAUAUGUAAAACAGACAAUGGUGAGGAAAGUGCUUUUAGACCAGAGAGUAUUAAAGAAAUCUCAGCUAAUAUUAUUUGCUCAUCUCUUGUUUGUUAAGGAGAAGUUUAAGGAUAUUUAAGUUUUACCACUUGCUUGAGAUCAUGAAAGGCAACUCUGGUCUCUCCCACAACCUCUAGUCAAAUUAUGGAAUUCUGGACUAUCUCAAAUAAAUCAUGGUUAUAUAAAAACUCUCAGAUCACUUUAAAAUGUCAUUUACCUCUCUAGGACUCUGUAUCCUUAUUUAUCAAAUGGGAUGGGACUUAUAUGACCAAAAUCACAUUUUUUUUUGUGUGUGUGUGUGAAGAAAAUAAAUGCUUUGUAAACCUUAAGGGCUCUAAUUGUGAGCUAUUGUGGAGAGAACCAUAGGCUCAUGUAAGGAGGGACCUUGGAGGUCAAUUAGUCCAACUUCCCCAUUAUACAGAGGAAAAAACUGAGAUCAGAGAAAGGAAGUGAAUUGCCCAGGAUCACAGAGGGGGGUUAAUUCUGAUCUUGCUACAUCUAGUGGAGGGCCAGAUUUCACAAAACUUGGAUUGGAAACUUAGCUAGACCACUUACCAUUUGUGAGCGCCUGGAAAAUCACAGUAACUCUGACCCUCACUACAUGGGGACUAACGAUCCUGGCAACCCUUACCUCAUAGGUCUGAGGAGGCAAAAAGUGCUUGUAAACAUCGAAGUGAUAUAAAAAAUGGAUACUGUUACGUAAGGACACAUUUAAAAAAAAUUAUAGGCUUCAGCCUUCCCUUACACAUUAGACUUUCCAAUAUACAGUAUAUACAUUAUACAACUGACAUUUAAAUUCCAUGCAGUGACCUAUCAACAGGAGGGGACAGCACGUUGGGGUAGGGUGGUGGAUGUAACUGGUUAUCUCCCAAUCCAGAGCCAGCUGAGGUGGGUGGGCUUUGUGUUUAUGGGGAAUAAUUCUGAAUGUCCAUGGUACUGUGAAAGCCUUCCUCAAAAGUAUUUCCCUUUAAGAAGGAGAAAUAUCUACCCAACUAUGGAAACCAUUGUCUGCCAGCAACAGGAAAACAGCUUGUCAGAGUUGGGAGGGCUGUUAGAACACAGAGUGUCAGAAUUGGAAGCUACCUUAGAAUACAAGGUGUUGGAACAGGGAAAGCUAGAAAGAAUUUUAGGACCUAGAAUGUAGAAAGUCAUAGUUGUAGAAAGCCUUAGAACAGAGAAUGUGAGAGAUGGGAGGGCCCUUAGAACUCAGGAGGUCAGGGCUGGGAGGGCCCUUAGAACAGGGGAUGUCAGAGCUGGGAGAGCCCUUAGAACCCGGGAGGUCAGAGCUGGGAGGGCCCUUAGAACCUGGGAUGUCAGAGCUGGGAGGGCCCUUAGAACACAUGAUGUCAGAGCUGGGAGGGCCCUAGAACUGGGGAU
Antechinus flavipes (yellow-footed antechinus) is the source of this 7200-nucleotide long non-coding RNA. RefSeq lists it as uncharacterized. The transcript is spliced from 4 exons. The record is from RefSeq and is a predicted model, not a curated record. Lineage: Eukaryota; Metazoa; Chordata; Mammalia; Dasyuromorphia; Dasyuridae.